AACCUUGAAUCUGGGAGACACGGUUGG
RNAcentral lists this small RNA (27 nucleotides) under Bombyx mori (domestic silkworm). RNAcentral describes it as "ovarian small RNA-4234". The record is from RNAcentral. Lineage: Eukaryota; Metazoa; Arthropoda; Insecta; Lepidoptera; Bombycidae.